AUUGAACGCUGGCGGCAGGCUUAACACAUGCAAGUCGAGCGGGGGAAGGUAGCUUGCUACUGGACCUAGCGGCGGACGGGUGAGUAAUGCUUAGGAAUCUGCCUAUUAGUGGGGGACGACAUCUCGAAAGGGAUGCUAAUACCGCAUACGUCCUACGGGAGAAAGCAGGGGAUCUUCGGACCUUGCGCUAAUAGAUGAGCCUAAGUCGGAUGAGCUAGUUGGUGGGGUAAAGGCCUACCAAGGCGACGAUCUGUAGCGGGUCUGAGAGGAUGAUCCGCCCAGCUGGGACUGCGACCCGGCCCAGACUCCAACGGGAGGCAGGAGCGGGGAAUAUUGGACACUGGGGGGAACCCUGAUCCAGCCGUGCCGCGUGUGUGAAGAAGGCCUUAUGGUUGUAAAGCACUUUAAGCGAGGAGGAGGCUACUUUAGUUAAUACCUAGAGAUAGUGGACGUUACUCGCAGAAUAAGCACCGGCUAACUCUGUGCAAGCAGCCGCCGUAA
RNAcentral lists this ribosomal RNA (501 nucleotides) under uncultured bacterium. RNAcentral's name for it is "partial 16S ribosomal RNA". It matches the Rfam family "Bacterial small subunit ribosomal RNA", at positions 30 to 523 of the family's 1533-position model. The record is from RNAcentral.